Long non-coding RNA from Acyrthosiphon pisum (pea aphid), 816 nucleotides. RefSeq lists it as uncharacterized. The transcript is spliced from 2 exons. The record is from RefSeq and is a predicted model, not a curated record. Lineage: Eukaryota; Metazoa; Arthropoda; Insecta; Hemiptera; Aphididae.
UUUCACAUAAUAUUAAGUAAAAUUAUAUUAAUUAAUGGGUACAUUCACAUAUUUACGUUGUAUUUACUUAGUUAAGAAUGGAUCUUUCUGCAUUGGUCACCAGGCAGUGUUUGAAAAUAAAAACAAUGAUGUAUUGUAUUUAAACAUUUUAAUGCAAAACAUUUAAAAAAUAAAUUUAUAAUCCCAGUUAUGUGUUUUCAUAAAUUACAUAUAUUCAUAUUAGCCAUAUCAUACUGUACAGCGUACAUUACGAGUUGGUAAGGUAUCGACUGACAGAGUUUUAGGAUUUCCAAUGUUUGAUUGCAGCUAAUGUUUAAUUUAAUAAUAUUACAUUAAAUUUUAUUUUCUACCAAUGUUUGUACUAAUUUCUCAUCAUCAACCUAAAAUAAAGUCAUCGUCAAACACUCGUGACCGGCCUAUUGAGAUUUUCUUGGUAGCUUGGAGCCUGGGCCUGACUAUAACAAUGUUACGUGCCAUACAAAUCAUAAAAGACAUUACCUAAUGACAAACUAUGAUCAAUCGAUAAUCAUUAGGUUUUAGAUUUGAAAAUUGAAUAAUACUAUAUGACUUUAUUGUUGGCCACUAUUUACCUAUAAAAAUUAUUUUGGAUUUAUUGCAUCGUCUUAAGAGAGUAAUAGUCUUAACAAAGUAGUAAUACAAAGUAUUCAUUAAAUGAUCAUAGUUGUAUUUUUAGGUAUUAUAUCAUAUUCAAUUUAAUUUGUAAGACCAAUACUAUGGAUUCUAAAAACAUGAAUAUUAUUUAAGUGUUUAAGAAUUGUGAUUAAUUUUAUAUUAAAGUAAAAUUUGAAUAUUUAA